UACGGAGGGGGCUAGCGUUGUUCGGAUUUACUGGGCGUAAAGCGCACGUAGGCGGACUGUUAAGUCGGGGGUGAAAUCCUGAGGCUCAACCUCAGAAUUGCCUCCGAUACUGGCGGUCUCGAGUGCGGGAGAGGUGAGUGGAAUUCCCAGUGUAGAGGUGAAAUUCGUAGAUAUUGGGAAGAACACCAGUGGCGAAGGCGGCUCACUGGCCCGCAACUGACGCUGAGGUGCGAAAGCGUGGGGAGCAAACAGG
Molecule: ribosomal RNA, 253 nt
Filed under: uncultured bacterium
Lineage: Bacteria
Description: partial 16S ribosomal RNA
Rfam family: Bacterial small subunit ribosomal RNA
Source: RNAcentral